RNAcentral lists this ribosomal RNA (253 nucleotides) under uncultured bacterium. RNAcentral's name for it is "partial 16S ribosomal RNA". It matches the Rfam family "Bacterial small subunit ribosomal RNA", at positions 524 to 776 of the family's 1533-position model. The record is from RNAcentral.
UACGGAGGGUGCAAGCGUUAUCCGGAUUUACUGGGCUUAAAGGGUGCGUAGGUGGGUAAGUAAGUCAGUGGUGAAAUCUUCGAGCUUAACUCGGAAACUGCCAUUGAUACUAUUUAUCUUGAAUACUUUGGAGGUAAGCGGAAUAUGUCAUGUAGCGGUGAAAUGCUUAGAUAUGACAUAGAACACCAAUUGCGAAGGCAGCUUACUACACAGUUAUUGACACUGAGGCACGAAAGCGUGGGGAUCAAACAGG